GGGUUGUGAGGUUAAGCGACUAAGCGUACACGGUGGAUGCCCUGGCAGUCAGAGGCGAUGAAGGGCGUGCUAAUCUGCGAUAAGCGCCGGUAAGGUGAUAUGAACCGUUAUAACCGGCGAUACCCGAAUGGGGAAACCCAGUGUGAUUCGUCACACUAUCAUUAACUGAAUCCAUAGGUUAAUGAGGCGAACCGGGGGAACUGAAACAUCUAAGUACCCCGAGGAAAAGAAAUCAACCGAGAUUCCCCCAGUAGCGGCGAGCGAACGGGGAGGAGCCCAGAGCCUGAAUCAGCAUGUGUGUUAGUGGAAGCGUCUGGAAAGGCGCGCGAUACAGGGUGACAGCCCCGUACACAAAAGCGCAUGUGCUGUGAGCUCGAUGAGUAGGGCGGGACACGUGGUAUCCUGUCUGAAUAUGGGGGGACCAUCCUCCAAGGCUAAAUACUCCUGACUGACCGAUAGUGAACCAGUACCGUGAGGGAAAGGCGAAAAGAACCCCGGCGAGGGGAGUGAAAAAGAACCUGAAACCGUGUACGUACAAGCAGUGGGAGCNNNNNNNNNNNNNNNNNNNNNNNNNNNNNNNNNNNNNNNNNNNNNNNNNNNNNNNNNNNNGGGCGUUAAGUUGCAGGGUAUAGACCCGAAACCCGGUGAUCUAGCCAUGGGCAGGUUGAAGGUUGGGUAACACUAACUGGAGGACCGAACCGACUAAUGUUGAAAAAUUAGCGGAUGACCUGUGGCUGGGGGUGAAAGGCCAAUCAAACCGGGAGAUAGCUGGUUCUCCCCGAAAGCUAUUUAGGUAGCGCCUCGUGAAUUCAUCUCCGGGGGUAGAGCACUGUUUCGGCUAGGGGGCCAUCCCGGCUUACCAACCCGAUGCAAACUGCGAAUACCGGAGAAUGUUAUCACGGGAGACACACGGCGGGUGCUAACGUCCGUCGUGAAGAGGGAAACAACCCAGACCGCCAGCUAAGGUCCCAAAGUCAUGGUUAAGUGGGAAACGAUGUGGGAAGGCCCAGACAGCCAGGAUGUUGGCUUAGAAGCAGCCAUCAUUUAAAGAAAGCGUAAUAGCUCACUGGUCGAGUCGGCCUGCGCGGAAGAUGUAACGGGGCUAAACCAUGCACCGAAGCUGCGGCAGCGACACUGUGUGUUGUUGGGUAGGGGAGCGUUCUGUAAGCCUGUGAAGGUGUGUCGUGAGGCAUGCUGGAGGUAUCAGAAGUGCGAAUGCUGACAUAAGUAACGAUAAAGCGGGUGAAAAGCCCGCUCGCCGGAAGACCAAGGGUUCCUGUCCAACGUUAAUCGGGGCAGGGUGAGUCGACCCCUAAGGCGAGGCCGAAAGGCGUAGUCGAUGGGAAACGGGUUAAUAUUCCCGUACUUGGUGUUACUGCGAAGGGGGGACGGAGAAGGCUAUGUUGGCCGGGCGACGGUUGUCCCGGUUUAAGCGUGUAGGUGUGUGUUCCAGGUAAAUCCGGUUCACUUUAACACUGAGGCGUGACGACGAGGCACUACGGUGCUGAAGCAACAAAUGCCCUGCUUCCAGGAAAAGCCUCUAAGCAUCAGGUAACAUCAAAUCGUACCCCAAACCGACACAGGUGGUCAGGUAGAGAAUACCAAGGCGCUUGAGAGAACUCGGGUGAAGGAACUAGGCAAAAUGGUGCCGUAACUUCGGGAGAAGGCACGCUGACACGUAGGUGAAGUGAUUUACUCAUGGAGCUGAAGUCAGUCGAAGAUACCAGCUGGCUGCAACUGUUUAUUAAAAACACAGCACUGUGCAAACACGAAAGUGGACGUAUACGGUGUGACGCCUGCCCGGUGCCGGAAGGUUAAUUGAUGGGGUCAGCGCAAGCGAAGCUCCUGAUCGAAGCCCCGGUAAACGGCGGCCGUAACUAUAACGGUCCUAAGGUAGCGAAAUUCCUUGUCGGGUAAGUUCCGACCUGCACGAAUGGCGUAAUGAUGGCCAGGCUGUCUCCACCCGAGACUCAGUGAAAUUGAACUCGCUGUGAAGAUGCAGUGUACCCGCGGCAAGACGGAAAGACCCCGUGAACCUUUACUAUAGCUUGACACUGAACAUUGAGCCUUGAUGUGUAGGAUAGGUGGGAGGCUUUGAAGUGUGGACGCCAGUCUGCAUGGAGCCGACCUUGAAAUACCACCCUUUAAUGUUUGAUGUUCUAACGUGGACCCGUUACCCGGGUUGCGGACAGUGUCUGGUGGGUAGUUUGACUGGGGCGGUCUCCUCCUAAAGAGUAACGGAGGAGCACGAAGGUUGGCUAAUCCUGGUCGGACAUCAGGAGGUUAGUGCAAUGGCAUAAGCCAGCUUGACUGCGAGCGUGACGGCGCGAGCAGGUGCGAAAGCAGGUCAUAGUGAUCCGGUGGUUCUGAAUGGAAGGGCCAUCGCUCAACGGAUAAAAGGUACUCCGGGGAUAACAGGCUGAUACCGCCCAAGAGUUCAUAUCGACGGCGGUGUUUGGCACCUCGAUGUCGGCUCAUCACAUCCUGGGGCUGAAGUAGGUCCCAAGGGUAUGGCUGUUCGCCAUUUAAAGUGGUACGCGAGCUGGGUUUAGAACGUCGUGAGACAGUUCGGUCCCUAUCUGCCGUGGGCGCUGGAGAACUGAGGGGGGCUGCUCCUAGUACGAGAGGACCGGAGUGGACGCAUCACUGGUGUUCGGGUUGUCAUGCCAAUGGCACUGCCCGGUAGCUAAAUGCGGAAGAGAUAAGUGCUGAAAGCAUCUAAGCACGAAACUUGCCCCGAGAUGAGUUCUCCCUGAGACUUAAAGUCUCCUGAAGGAACGUUGAAGACGACGACGUUGAUAGGCCGGGUGUGUAAGCGCAGCGAUGCGUUGAGCUAACCGGUACUAAUGAACCGUGAGGCUUAACCUUACAACGCCGAAG
RNAcentral lists this ribosomal RNA (2880 nucleotides) under Salmonella enterica subsp. enterica serovar Enteritidis. RNAcentral describes it as "23S ribosomal RNA". It matches the Rfam family "Bacterial large subunit ribosomal RNA". The record is from RNAcentral. Lineage: Bacteria; Pseudomonadati; Pseudomonadota; Gammaproteobacteria; Enterobacterales; Enterobacteriaceae.